GCUAUUGAGCAUGUGCAUUCACACUCCUAUCGAGGUAUCAAUUUGGGUAUGUCACUACAUAUUCCUAUUGCGAUAUGAUUAGGGCAUGAUCAUUUGAUGUUCCUGUUGGGUGAGUGAAAUCACGUUCCUAUUGCGCGUAAAUAAGGAUUUCUCUCUCUAGAGUUAGUUGAUUAUCCAUAUUACAUUGAGAAGUAUGCAUGCAAGCUUGACUAUGAUACCAGUUGAUGAGUUUGAGUAUAAAAGUGGAAGCUUUAUCUAUUUUAAGUGAUCCUUUGUGUUAUUUUAUGCAUUCAUAAUUAAUUUCCUUGUGCAUAUCUCAUAUAUAUAUACACACACACUUGCUUAGUCGAUAUAGAGUACUUUAUAUCACAUGCUCUAUCUGUGCAUAUCUUAUUAUAUUAUUUCUAUGCCUCUUUUCUAACAUUGUUAUAAACAUAAACUGCACAGGUUUAUAAAGUGAGCAUCUUUUGAUCCAAAACCUCAACACUAAUUCGUUGGGAUCGGUCAAGGUGUUUACUGAGUACUUAGGUUACUGUACUCAUAUUAUACUUAUGCACAUUUUUGUGCAGGUUCUCACCUUGGUACUAGUGGACCUAGGAGGCAAUCUAGGAGUACUUGCUUGGAGACUUACGGUAGAGCUGCUUCAUCUAUCCACAGUGCCUCGAAGUCACCUUCCACUAUCUAUCUAUUAUUAUUUUCUACCAUCCAGACAGUAUAUAUAUUAUGUCUCAAAAAAUUAUAUAUUAAUUCAGUUGUAGUAGCUCGUGACACCAGGUCCUUGGGAUAUUUUGGUUAUAUCCACGCUUGUAUUGGCAUCUUUAUACUUAUUCUAUGUUAUUGACUCUGUAUAGACUUA
This 856-nucleotide long non-coding RNA is filed under the name Nicotiana tabacum (common tobacco). Its description in RNAcentral is "long non-coding RNA (NTAB_LNC012918)". The record is from RNAcentral. Lineage: Eukaryota; Viridiplantae; Streptophyta; Magnoliopsida; Solanales; Solanaceae.